AGGGCUGGACGUUCAGUUGGGAACCGUGUCAAGGAACUCUGUCAUUCGGCAGAGCGUGUCGAAAGACUCUAAGUCA
Molecule: regulatory RNA element, 76 nt
Organism: Legionella massiliensis
Lineage: Bacteria; Pseudomonadati; Pseudomonadota; Gammaproteobacteria; Legionellales; Legionellaceae
Rfam family: RAGATH-32 RNA
About the family: Legionellales (_-Proteobacteria). Nearby to self-cleaving ribozyme genes
Source: Rfam